UACGUAGGUGGCAAGCGUUGUCCGGAUUUACUGGGCGUAAAGAGCGCGCAGGCGGUCGUUCAAGUCGCGUGUGAAAGCCCCCGGCUCAACUGGGGAGGGUCACGCGAUACUGAUCGACUCGAAGGCAGGAGAGGGUAGUGGAAUUCCCGGUGUAGUGGUGAAAUGCGUAGAUAUCGGGAGGAACACCGGUGGCGAAGGCGAGUCCCUGGACAAUUCCUGACACUGAGGCACGAAAGCUAGGGGAGCAAACAGG
This 253-nucleotide ribosomal RNA is filed under the name uncultured bacterium. RNAcentral describes it as "partial 16S ribosomal RNA". It matches the Rfam family "Bacterial small subunit ribosomal RNA", at positions 524 to 776 of the family's 1533-position model. The record is from RNAcentral.